AGGAAACUAAACCAUUUUUCCACCUUAGUACGGGAGACGGAAAAGGUAAUUUUAAGCAAUAGAGGAAGUACCGCAAGGGAAAGCUGAAAGAGUAAUGAAAUAAUCCAUAUAAGCACAAAAAAGCAGAGCCUAACCCUCGUACCUUUUGCAUCAUGAUUUAGCCAGCACCACUCAAGCGAAGUGACCUUUAGUUUGAAGCCCCGAAACCAAGUGAGCUACCCCGGGACAGCCUGUUUGGGCGAACCCGUCUCUGUGGCAAAAGAGUGGGAAGAGCCCCGGGUAGAGGUGAUAAACCUACCGAACUUGGUGAUAGCUGGUUGCCUAAGAAGUGAAUAGAAGUUCAGCCUCGUACCCCUUUAGCCAACCAAGACAUAUCUGAGUAAGCAUAUGAGAGAAAUACGAGAGUUAGUUGAAGGGGGUACAGCCCCUUUAAUAAAGGACACAACCUUGAGUAGGAGGAUAAGAGUCACAUUUUAUAAAACUAGUCGUCCCAGUGGGCCUAAAAGCAGCCAUCUGAGUAGAAAGCGUUAAAGCUCAAACGACAUGCAGUUUAUUAUACUGUUAAAUAGCUCAACUCCCCUAGAAGUAUUAGGCCGUUCCAUGCCCCCAUGGAAGAGACUAUGCUAGAAUGAGUAAUAAGAGGGUAUGACCCUCUCCUAGCACAAGUGUAAGUCAGAUCGGACAAACCACUGAAAAUUAACGAACCCAUGAAAAGAGGGUAAUGUGUUUACUAAGAAAAUCAAGAAAAUGACACAACACUUGUAUCGUUAAACCCACACUGGAGUGCCAUCAAGGAAAGACUAAAAGAAAAGGAAGGAACUCGGCAAACACAAGCCUCGCCUGUUUACCAAAAACAUCGCCUCCUGCUAACCCCAAUGUAUAGGAGGUCCAGCCUGCCCGGUGACUACAAGUUUAACGGCCGCGGUAUUUUGACCGUGCAAAGGUAGCGCAAUCACUUGUCUUUUAAAUGAAGACCUGUAUGAAUGGCUAAACGAGGGCUUAACUGUCUCCCUUUUCAGG
RNAcentral lists this ribosomal RNA (1020 nucleotides) under Triplophysa tibetana. RNAcentral describes it as "partial large subunit ribosomal RNA". It matches the Rfam family "Bacterial large subunit ribosomal RNA", at positions 214 to 2032 of the family's 2925-position model. The record is from RNAcentral. Lineage: Eukaryota; Metazoa; Chordata; Actinopteri; Cypriniformes; Nemacheilidae.